Molecule: long non-coding RNA, 509 nt
Filed under: Gopherus evgoodei (Goodes thornscrub tortoise)
Lineage: Eukaryota; Metazoa; Chordata; Testudines; Testudinidae
Description: lncRNA (ENSGEVG00005018006.1)
Source: RNAcentral
AUGAAUAUUGAUGAGUCCCCCGAACACGCCGCUCACCCGCUCGUCGCGGCUGCCCCGACACCCCGCCCUCCUCGCGCGCGUCCCUCUGUUGCCAUAAGCGACGGCGCAGGCGGCCUGGCCUCGCCCCGCCCCGGCGGCGCUACGGGGCCACACGAGGAACUAAAGGGCCCUGAGGCGGGGGCUUCCGGAAGUGACGACACGAGGAGCCGCCUUUGCACCGGAAAUGGCCCUGAUCUUCCUCUUCAGCUGCUGCUUCUUCCCCCUCUUCUUCCUCGCCCUGCGCUGGGCGCUGCGCCGCACCUGGGGCCCGGGCACGGACCAGCUGCAAGCCGUCUACGUGGCUGCCAAGCUGGUCUCCUCUGUCCAGGCCGUCAUGGCCUCCACCGCCGGAUACAUCGUGUUCAGCUCCUGCCAGCACGUUCUCGACGACCAGUGAGUGUGGCCCCCGGCCGGGCCCCCGUUCUCCCUCCCCCCAGCUGGGCCCCUGCUUUCUGCCCCCCAGCCAGGCC